Molecule: non-coding RNA, 2760 nt
Organism: Callithrix jacchus (white-tufted-ear marmoset)
Lineage: Eukaryota; Metazoa; Chordata; Mammalia; Primates; Cebidae
Source: RefSeq, a predicted model, not a curated record
GGGGAGUGGGGAGGACCCGGUUACAAGCUCAGCUCGGCUCUCCUUUUCCAGAGGGUCUGGGCACCGGGGCUGCCAACUCGGGGUAAGGAGUGGGGGCGGGAAACCUGCUUCGGUCUCCAUGAUUACGAGCCGCUCAGCGCGCUGGAGGAAGAUUCAAAGUUUGGCGUUGCCACGAUGGAGUCUUGCUCUGUUGCCCAGGCUGGAGUGCAGUGUUGUGAUCUUGGCUCACUGCAACCUCUGCCUCCUGCAUUCAAGCAAUUCGCCUGCCUCAGCCACAUAAGUAUUGGGGAUUAUAGGCAUGUGAUAACAUGCCUGGCUAAUUUUUGUAUUUUUAGUACAGACGAGGUUGCACUGUGCUGCCCAGGCUGGUCUCAAACUCUUGGCUUCAAGUGAUCCACCUUCCUUGGCCUCCUGGAGUGCUGGGAUUAGAAGCAAAAGCCACGGUGUCUGGCCAGGAUUAAAUUUCUUUUUUCUUUUUUCUUUUUUUUUUUUUUUUUUUUGAGAUGGAGUCUUGCUCUGUCACCCAGACUGGAGUGCAGUGGCACAAUCUCAGUUCACUGCAACCUCUGCCUCCUGGGUUCAAGCAAUUCUCUGCCUCAGCCUCUCGAGUAGCUUUACAGAUAGAAUUACAGGUACCUGCCACUGUGGGUAACCCCCACAUGGGCACUGAGAAAGGAGAGCUAUGCAAACCCCAGGCACAAUUAGUGCCUGAAGAAUAUCUUAAUUUAUAGUAUUAUUACUCAGCUAUUUCCUUUAUAUACUCCUUUAUAUAUAAAACCAUAUAUGAUAGAAUUAGUGCCUGAAGUAUAACUUACUGCUUACAUAUAUCUAGCUUAUAUAAUCAUACUUAGUACUUAUAUCUAGCAUACUUAGGUCCAUAUAAUUUUUCUAUAUAAUCAUAUAACAGAUGUAGUCAGAGCUGUACUGACACAUUUAGUGCUGAUUUAUAUAAUCCUUCUAUAUAACCAUAUAGUAGUUUGUAGUAGGAGGAAUGCCUAGAGCAGUCACAAAGCGGAAGCAGUACAUGGGAAAACAGCCAGACCAGGACGAGAACCAAAGACCCAGGCAGUGAGUUAAAGGUGCACAGAGCAGGGAUCUAGAACACAGAAGAGUGUGUGGGGAGGUGGGUGAAUCUAAGACAAAGUCUCCCAGAGGAAGCAUUAUUAUGCUGAAAUUAAAGGACAUGGGAGUAUCCAGGAAAAGAGGCCAUGAGGAAUCCCAGAUACAAAAUAAAAACCAAAGAGUCCUGAUUGCUGACUGCUGGGUGUCAUGACUGUAAUCCCAGCACUCCAAGGCAGGUGGAUCACCUGAGUCAGGAGUUUGAGACCAGCCUGACAGACAUGGAGAAACCCCAUCUCUACUAAAAAAUUAGCUGGGCAUGGUGGUGAACACCUGUAAUCCCAGCUAUUUGGUUGGCAGGCUGAGGCAGAAGAAUCACGUGAAAUCGGGAGGAGGAGGUUGCAGUGAGCCCAGAUCGCCCAAUACCACUAGAGGUUAAAGAUUAAAGGACAGGUUCCGAAGUCUAAAGCAAAUACUGUUGAUGGGUAAUAUCCCUGUCCACAAAUCUUCCACCACAUGGCUGUGCUGGAGUUUCAGCCUACUCUGGCUCAAGGCUGCCUGAUUCGUGAAUCUUUCAUGGCUCAAUUAAACUCUGUUUAUUUUGAGAAAUAUUUAAAAAUUACGUAUCCAUGGAGUCUCACUCUGUUGCCUAGGCUGGAGUGCAGUAGCGUGAUCUCAGCUCACCACAACAACCUCCAUCUCCUGUGUCCAAGCAAUUCUUUCUCAUGCCUCAGCCUUCCCAAUAGCUGGGAUUACAGGUACCCACCACCACACCCGGCUAAUUUUUUGUAUUUUAGUAGAGACGGGGUUUCAUCAUGUUGACGUCUGAAGUUUUAAUUUUAUCUGAAGUCACAUCAAUCCCUCAGCUAAUAUCCUUGGUUGAUCUCUCCCACAAAAAGCCAUCCGGAAUGAUCAAAGGUUAAUUUUAUAGGACUACAUGAGUAAUUGGUUUAUAAAUUAUUAUAAACCAACAGCUGUAAGAAAUCUAUAAAUCUUCAAAUACUUUUAAAAGAAAGAAAAAGAAGAAAGAAAGAAAGAGAAAGAAAGAAAAGCAAGCAGAAGUAAAUCCACACACUUACGGUGAAAUAAUUUUUGACAAGGAUGCCAGGAUAAUUCAAUGAGGAUAAAACACUCUUCAGCAAAUGGGGCUGUAACAACUGGAUAUCCACAUGCAAAGAAUGAAGUUGGACAUUAUGAUGUUUAAUAUUAAGUGUCCAUUUGAUUGGACCAAAAGAUGCAAAGUAUUGUUCCUGGGUGUGUCUGUGAGGGUGUGGCCAAAGGAGAUGAACAUUUCAGUCAGUGGGCUGGGAAAGGCAGACCCACCCUCAAUCCGGGUGGGCACCAUCUGAUCAGUAACCAGCAGGGUAGGAAUAAAGCACGCAAAGGAAGUGCAGACUUGCCGAGUCUCCCGGCCUUCAUUUUUCACUGGUGCUGGAUGCCUCCAGCCCACAAAUAUCAGACUCCAAGUUCUGCAACUUUUGAACUCUUGGACUUAACACCACAUGGUUUGCCAGGUGCUCAGGCCUUUGGCCACACACUGAAGGCUGCCCUGUUUGCUCCCCUACUUUUGAGGGUUGGGGACCUGGACUGAUCCACCACUGGCUUCCUUGCUCCUCAACUUGCAGACAGCCUAUCGUGGGACUUUUCCUUGCAAUCGUGUGAGUCAAUUCUCCUUAAUAAACUUCCUUUUAUAUACCUAUA